UGCAAGUCGAACGGCGUCCCUCGGGGCGCAGUGGCGCACGGGUGCGUAACGCGUAUGCAACCUACCUUGAACUGGGGGAUAGCCCGGAGAAAUCCGGAUUAAUACCGCAUAACACCAUGUGAGGGCAUCUGAGUAUGGUUAAAGAUUCAUUGGUUCAAGAUGGGCAUGCGUGCCAUUAGCUAGUUGGUGGUGUAACGGACCACCAAGGCUACGAUGGCUAGGGGUUCUGAGAGGACGGUCCCCCACACUGGCACUGAGAUACGGGCCAGACUCCUACGGGAGGCAGCAGUAGGGAAUAUUGGGCAAUGGGCGGAAGCCUGACCCAGCCAUGCCGCGUGCAGGAUGAAGGCCUUCUGGGUUGUAAACUGCUUUUAUCAGGGAAGAAAACACCCAUGCGUGGGGAACUGACGGUACCUGAGGAAUAAGCACCGGCUAACUCCGUGCCAGCAGCCGCGGUAAUACGGAGGGUGCAAGCGUUGUCCGGAUUUAUUGGGUUUAAAGGGUGCGUAGGCGGCCCAUUAAGUCAGUGGUGAAAGCCCGGGGCUCAACCCCGGAACCGCCAUUGAUACUGGUGGGCUUGAGUAUGGACGAGGUUGGCGGAAUUGAGGGUGUAGCGGUGAAAUGCUUAGAUACCCUCAAGAACACCGAUUGCGUAGGC
RNAcentral lists this ribosomal RNA (658 nucleotides) under Rufibacter tibetensis. RNAcentral describes it as "bacterial SSU rRNA". It matches the Rfam family "Bacterial small subunit ribosomal RNA", at positions 56 to 722 of the family's 1533-position model. Lineage: Bacteria; Pseudomonadati; Bacteroidota; Cytophagia; Cytophagales; Hymenobacteraceae. The record is from RNAcentral.